This 339-nucleotide unclassified non-coding RNA is filed under the name soil metagenome. Its description in RNAcentral is "partial contains 5.8S ribosomal RNA, internal transcribed spacer 2, and large subunit ribosomal RNA". The stretch from base 1 to 120 matches the Rfam family "5.8S ribosomal RNA", at positions 35 to 154 of the family's 154-position model. The record is from RNAcentral.
GAUGAAGAACGUAGCGAAAUGCGAUAAGUAGUGUGAAUUGCAGAAUUCAGUGAAUCAUCGAAUCUUUGAACGCACAUUGCGCCCCAUGGUAUUCCGUGGGGCAUGCCUGUUCGAGCGUCAUUUACCCCCUCAAGCUCCGCUUGGUGUUGGGCGUCUGUCCCGCUUCGCGCGCGGACUCGCCCCAAAGGUAUUGGCAGCGGUCGUGCCAGCUUCUCGCGCAGCACAUUGCGCUUCUCGAGGCACCGGUGGGCCCGCGUCCCCGGACGUCGGGACUCUAGUGAUAGACCUCAGAUCAGGUAGGACUGCCCGCUGAACUUAAGCAUAUCAAUAAGCGGAGGA